RNAcentral lists this ribosomal RNA (253 nucleotides) under uncultured bacterium. RNAcentral describes it as "partial 16S ribosomal RNA". It matches the Rfam family "Bacterial small subunit ribosomal RNA", at positions 524 to 776 of the family's 1533-position model. The record is from RNAcentral.
UACGUAGGGUGCGAGCGUUGUCCGGAAUUAUUGGGCGUAAAGAGCUCGUAGGCGGUCUGUUACGUCUGCUGUGAAAACCCGGGGCUUAACCCUGGGCUUGCAGUGGAUACGGGUAGACUAGAGGCAGGUAGGGGAGAAUGGAAUUCCCGGUGUAGCGGUGAAAUGCGUAGAUAUCUGGAGGAACACCGGUGGCGAAGGCGGCAUCCUGGACCGGUAUUGACGCUGAGGAGCGAAAGCUAGGGGAGCAAACGGG